CAAAUUAAUUUUGGUAUUCGACUUAUUGUUGGUAACCAUUUAGCCAAAAUGCAGCAUCUAUAGUAAGUUGCAUUGCAAAGUUCAUGGUGAAUCAUGUUGCAGUGGUUGACAUAAUGUCUUUAUCUUAGGAAAUGGUGACCCCAAUCACCUCAUCAUCAUCAUCCAAUUAGAUAAGAAAUGCUAUUUAUUUUGGAUAUAUUUCCCACCGUCCGAACCAACCUUCCCUCCUCGGGGC
RNAcentral lists this long non-coding RNA (235 nucleotides) under Elaeis guineensis (African oil palm). Its description in RNAcentral is "long non-coding RNA (EGUI_LNC003610)". Lineage: Eukaryota; Viridiplantae; Streptophyta; Magnoliopsida; Arecales; Arecaceae. The record is from RNAcentral.